AUUAAUAAUUAAUAUAUUUAAUAAAAAUAAUUUUAAUUUAAUAAGUAUUUUAAUGGGGGUUAAAGUAUUUUUUAAAGAAAAAAUUUUUAAAUUUAUAGUUAAUUAGUAUUGUGAAAGAAUUUUGAAAUAUUAUGAAAAAUAAAAUUUUUAGAAAGUAAUUUUUAUUUAUUGUAUCUUGUGUAUCAGAGUUUAUUAAAAAUUUUUAAUUUAUGAAUUAAUUUCUCGAAUUUAAAAGAGUUAAAUAAUUAUUAAAGUUAUUGUAGCAAAAUUAUUUUAAAUAAUUAUUUAGAAAUGAAAUGUUAAUCGUUUUUAAAUAUAUCUAGUUUUUAUAGAAAAAAAUUUAAUUUUAAAUUUAAAAAUUAUUUAAUUAAUUUAUUAAUUAAAUAGUUACUUAAAUUUUAUAAUUUAAGGGAUAAGCUUUAAAUUAAAUUUUUAUAAUAUUAAAUUUUUAUUUUGAAAAUUUUAUAAUUUAUAUUGUUAAUAAAUUUUAUUUUGUUAUAAAUAAUUUCAUUUUUUUUAAAAUUUAAAUUUUAUUUAAUUUUUUAUAUAAAAUUUAUUUAUAAUUAUAUAAAGUUAAUUAUAAUGAUAAAAUUAGUAUAUUAUUUAAUAUUAAAUUAAAAUUAAUUUUUGAUUAAUAAUUAAAUUAAUUAAAAGGAAUUCGGCAAAUAUUUAUUUUCACUUGUUUAUCAAAAACAUGUCUUUUUGUUAUUUAAUUUAAAGUCUAAUCUGCCCACUGAUUUAUAAAAAUUGAAGGGCUGCAGUAUAUUGACUGUACAAAGGUAGCAUAAUCAUUAGUCUUUUAAUUGGUGACUUGUAUGAAAGAUUGGAUGAAAAAUAUACUGUCUCUUAAUUAAUAUAUAGAAUUUAAUUUUUUAUUUAAAAAGUUAAAAUAACUUAAAAAGACGAGAAGACCCUAUAGAGUUUAAUAAAUUAUUUUAUGAAAGUUUUAUUUAUAUUUAUUAAUAAUUUUAUAAAUUUAUUUAUUUAGUUGGGGUGAUAAAAAAAUAAAUUUAACUUUUUUUAAGUAAUUUACAUGGAUAAGUGAUUAAU
RNAcentral lists this ribosomal RNA (1050 nucleotides) under Biston falcata satura. RNAcentral's name for it is "partial 16S ribosomal RNA". The record is from RNAcentral. Lineage: Eukaryota; Metazoa; Arthropoda; Insecta; Lepidoptera; Geometridae.